GUGAAAAGAAAAACACUUAAAUUUUGGGAAUAAACCUGAGGACUCAAGUCUUAAUGAUCAAGGGAGAUUUCGCAAAUCAUGCAAUGAAAUAUGGUUCGGAAUAAAAUUAAUCUUCGUGAAAUUAAGCAGAUCUGGAUAGCAGUAAAUAACAGACAGAAUGCUCAGGUUUUCAACUACGGCUACAUACAAACUAAGGAGGAGAACAAAUGAGAUGAGGAGGAUGAGGCGUGGUUUAUUUUUUUCAUUAUGAUUAUUUUUUUUUUGACAGCAUGUUCUAGCGGUUAAUGAACGGACUUCUCAAUUUUAUUUUAGUUUAAGAAGA
Molecule: long non-coding RNA, 322 nt
Filed under: Solanum tuberosum (potato)
Lineage: Eukaryota; Viridiplantae; Streptophyta; Magnoliopsida; Solanales; Solanaceae
Description: long non-coding RNA (STUB_LNC001014)
Source: RNAcentral